This is a non-coding RNA of Monodelphis domestica (gray short-tailed opossum), 3245 nucleotides long. The record is from RefSeq and is a predicted model, not a curated record. NCBI's taxonomy places the organism in Eukaryota, Metazoa, Chordata, Mammalia, Didelphimorphia, Didelphidae.
UUCCUGUGACUUGUUCCUGUCUGAGCCAAGUGGGAGUUUGCCUCUCUUUUCCCAGUGGAGCCGAAGCUGUUUCCUGCUGUUCUAGGAUCCUGGUAUUGAGAUCCUGCCUACUCUGUCUCCUAAUUUUAUCACCUAAUCAUGCUCCUGAGCCAAAGUCCUGACUGCUGUGAAGAGGAACUGCUGGCCAGCCAGUAACUGACUGCGGGAGAGGCCUGACGCCAUCUUGGGCCCAGGCCGAGGAGGGCUGAACUUGUCAAGAGUUGAAGCUGCUACUCUGACAAACUAGAAACUUAUUAUUUGGGAGGACUAGUCAGCUUCACCUUGACCUUAAGCAAUCCGCCAUCAUACACAUUGGGGAAUAAAAGGAGUAACUAUCUCAAGUUCAAGAAAGCUGACAACACAGAUGAAAUCAUAAGCAUAUGCUAAAGAGAGACAGAACCAGAAAGCCAGAGACAGAGUGACAGAGACGGACGUUCCUUCAAGAAGGAUGUGGAAGAUCUGUCUGUAUCUAUGGGAUCCUGGCAUGGGAAGUUUUUCAGGGAAAUUCCUUUGCUCCCUUCUAUCCUUGUGACUCCAAACCCCAAAACAUCUGAAAACUCCUAUAAGACCCUGAGAGGAUUCUCCUCCUUAGAUCAUCCUUUAGAUGGUCAGAGAGAGACAGCUCCAGGCUAAGCCUUGAUACCAUCAGAUUGUAUCUGUCUACCUGUCCUGUCCCCUAACCUAUGAGGGUCACCCCCUAUGUCUUCAGGCAGACACUGGCCAGAUGAUCAACCCCACCCUGCCCAUGCCUCAGUGCAUACCACCCUAGAGUCAGGUCUUCAGCAUGGCACAGAGUCAUGUCAUGUCAGCUGGGAGCAGCUCUCCAUCCAUGCUGUUUCCCCCUAGGGGUCAGUCUUCCACCUAUGCUGUCCUCCUGGCCAGGCUCAACAUUACCAUCUAAAUUAAUAAAUGUCUCUAUAUUUUUAAGCUCAGUUUCAGUCUUGCAUUCUUGCAAAAAGUUCCCUUCCCGAACCCUGGGGGUUCACCUCAAGCCCCCACAAUAAUCCCAGCAAGUGCAGCACAACAAAAACCUAAAUUGGGUCAGCUGAGAAACAGAACUUACACAUCAGCAGAAUAAUUCCAUCAAGAGAAGUAACUAAACAUCUACCUUCUCUGGAGAGGAAGAAAGUGUUCUAGGUAAGUGGCUGUAAUGCGAAAUUAUUGGAUCAAAGGUUGAUUUUCCAAAGUAAGAAAGAAUUAGUGAUCCCCUCUACAUAGAGGCUGACUUGGUGCUUAGCUACUUUAUACAAAGUAUUCCUAGCUUGAAUUGCAACUAACAGGAGCAGGAAAAGCUUUGUAUAGGAAGGGGAUAAUACAAAAGACCCUGGAAAAAUCUAAAGAUUCUAAAAAGAGUAGGUCUGAAGGGGAUAUCCAGUUUUUACCAAGGCUCCUGGAAACCUCUGUGUCUCACAACAGUGGUUGCUCUUCAAGACUCUGUGCUUAAGAAAGGACAAUAAAAGCAAAGAAAUAUGCUCCAAUGAGUAUUGAGUGGAACACGUCUCGUAACAAUGUACAGAUCCCUGGAAGUUCAAAUGAGUGGAACCUUCAUUUCAUUCCUGGCCAGGGCAUCUCCUAAUGAGAAAUGGGCUGAACAAAGGGUUGGCGCAGACUUUAGAGAAGUACAGAAGGACAGGAAAUCUUCCUUUGGUGCACACGCCAAAGGAAGGGACGGGAAGGUUCAAACAAAUUCAUACAUAUAUAAUUCCUUGUAGGGCUGAGCAAAUGCAAGCUAGCGGUAUCUUACAGCAGCAGAUGUUUUAUGCUUUUAGCGUUAUGGCAGGAGGGGUUACAUUUUAUUGCUAUCGGAGUCUUGACCUUAGGCUGACAUGGAUCUGGGUCUGAGUCUUUGUGGUUCCCUGGGAAGCUACAGGCUUGGGAAUAUCGGUUGGUUGUUUUUUGAUUUGUUUCUUUUUUCUACUUCCCUUCAGGCUUCCUACACAGCCCGAGUUUUUGUCUACUUCUGCAUAAAGAACAAUUAAUCAAUGAGCUAAAUUUUGAAAGCUGUCCCAGAACAUACAAUGUUCAGAAUGGCUUUGUUGAUUAUCACAACAUUUUUGUCUCAGUUCUACAGCGAUGGUUUAUUCACCUAAGCAUACUAUAUAAAUCUAAGUACGGGACGAAUGUUAAGAGUACGUAAUCUCUGCAUAGGAAAUGUCCCUACUUAAAAUGUCGUACCAACACAGGGAUAAAUAAUUGCUAUGAAACACGGUAUUUUUCAGGGAGACAGUAUAAGCCCUUUUCAUUUUCUCUCUCCUUAAAUCUAUUAUCUUUCCUCUUAAGUAGAACUAAGUAUAGUUUCCAAAUUAAAGGAGUCAAAGCAAAGCAUCUUAUUGUAUGGGUAGCAUCAAGCCAUAUGAUUACACUGAAAGACAAUUCAACUCUCAGCUCAACCAAAAACAAAGAAACAAAUUCAAAACAAAACAAAACAAAACAAAACAAAAAUAGCUCAACCAUCUUGUUGAAUCUUUCCCCCCCCAUUUGUCCUGAUUGCUAUUCUGCAUCUGGUAGAAUGGCUCACCCAGAGCUUGAGGGUUCAAAGGGUCUAUUUAAUAAAAAAUAUAUUCAAAUAACUCCCAGGAAAAAGUAGUCCCCAAGGUGAUUAGAAAUGAAGUUCAGGAAGUUAAAAGCAAAUGAAACACUGGGAAGAAGGUUAAAGACAUGACAAGGAAGUUCCUUGGGGUGUCUGUCAGGAGUUCUCAAGCAAAGUCCUAAAAGCUAGUUUUAUAUUCUUUUUUGGUUCAAAAGACCAACAGAUGGUUGAUUCCAGAUCAGUUCAGUCACAGUCAAAAUUAUCCUAUAAAUCAGUCUAGAGAAAAAUAAUUUAUUAAACACUAAUUACUGGGUAUUGGGUCAAAUGCAGGUGAUAACAAGCAUGUGCAGAAAGAAGAAUCAUCUGUGAUCUCAAGGAAUUUAUAUUUUAUCAGGGGGAGACAACAUGUAAUACAGAAGGAGUGGAAGAUUGCUGCAUGGGGACAUAGAGGUGAAAUCCAAAAGGGGAGGAGCAGAACUUGGAAAGGAAUAAGAGAUCACCGACCUGAGCCCUUCCUCACAAAGAAGGUGUCAGGAGUGACUCUUCAGUGAGAAAAGAGGACCUCAGAGGCAGAGGAGCUCUCCAAAAUGAGAAGCCUUCAAGGACAGAGGAAGGAGCCAGUGUAGGUAGGAUGGGAAAGGUCAGCAGGACAGGAACUUGAAGCUGCAAAGGCAGA